AGUGAACGCUGGCGGUAGGCCUAACACAUGCAAGUCGAACGGCAGCACAGUAAGAGCUUGCUCUUACGGGUGGCGAGUGGCGGACGGGUGAGGAAUACAUCGGAAUCUACUUUUUCGUGGGGGAUAACGUAGGGAAACUUACGCUAAUACCGCAUACGACCUACGGGUGAAAGCAGGGGAUCUUCGGACCUUGCGCGAUUGAAUGAGCCGAUGUCGGAUUCGCUAGUUGGCGGGGUAAAGGCCCACCAGGGCGACGAUCCGUAGCUGGUCUGAGAGGAUGAUCAGCCACACUGGAACUGAGACACGGUCCAGACUCCUACGGGAGGCAGCAGUGGGGAAUAUUGGACAAUGGGCGCAAGCCUGAUCCAGCCAUACCGCGUGGGUGAAGAAGGCCUUCGGGUUGUAAAGCCCUUUUGUUGGGAAAGAAAAGCAGCAGGUUAAUACCCCGCUGUUCUGACGGUACCCAAAGAAUAAGCACCGGCUAACUUCGUG
Molecule: ribosomal RNA, 492 nt
Filed under: uncultured bacterium
Lineage: Bacteria
Description: partial 16S ribosomal RNA
Rfam family: Bacterial small subunit ribosomal RNA
Source: RNAcentral